AGCCUGCUACACUCUCUAAAGACCUUUUAAGCUCUUCCAUGAAUGAUUGUAAAACAUGUGACAAUUUAAUAGCAAUGACAUGGUAAUGAAAGUAAUGAAUAAGAUUGACAUGUACUGACAUGAUAUCUUGACAUGUAAUGACACUGACAUCUUGCAUGUAAUGAUGAAUCUGGACAUAUAAUCACGUGGUAUCCUGACAUGAAAUGAUGUGGAAUCUUGAAAUGUAAUCACGUGAUCAGUACCCUGAUGUUCGUUUCAGUGAUGACAGGAGGAGAAAUAUGGCCGUCAACAUCAUUUGGGAAUAUCUACACUGAUGCAUUCUGGGUAUACAACAAUCAUACAAACAAGAGGUUUUGUCAAUGGCAAAUUGAGUGACUGGUCUGUGCUACAGGUAGUGCAGGAGUGUGAAACCCUUUACGAGAACACCUGGUGUCAUCACUGAUUUUUACUGACACAAGACUAAAACAAGAUGCAAGGAUGGUCGAAUGUGUCAAAAUGCUGAUUUUAGAUGUAUCCAGGGUGCAGUUUCUAAUGAUUGCCCAUAAGUCCUCGACUCAAACUUUCAUACUUAUAUUGGAAACACUGAUUCCUGCCACACUUCUGGAUUUGAUAUCUGAGACACACCUCUAACAAAACAUUCAACAGUGACAGAAUUCUGAACAUUUGUGAGAGCACUUUCAAUAAUUUUAGGCUCUGUUACUUAUUAUUGCUCCCACUUAUUUGACCUAUUGUAUUGUCUUUUUGUUUGUAAACCUAAACUUGUGUGUGUAAAUAGAACUUAUAGCUCAUUUACUGCUUUAACAAAUUAUAUCUGUGAAAACUGAUUUCUGGAAUAACUGUUACAAUUUGGA
This is a long non-coding RNA of Haliotis rubra (blacklip abalone), 851 nucleotides long. RefSeq lists it as uncharacterized. The transcript is spliced from 3 exons. NCBI's taxonomy places the organism in Eukaryota, Metazoa, Mollusca, Gastropoda, Lepetellida, Haliotidae. The record is from RefSeq and is a predicted model, not a curated record.